This 482-nucleotide ribosomal RNA is filed under the name uncultured bacterium. RNAcentral's name for it is "bacterial SSU rRNA". It matches the Rfam family "Bacterial small subunit ribosomal RNA", at positions 29 to 506 of the family's 1533-position model. The record is from RNAcentral.
UUGAACGCUGGCGGCAUGCUUUACACAUGCAAGUCGAACGGCAGCACGGGGGCAACCCUGGUGGCGAGUGGCGAACGGGUGAGUAAUGCAUCGGAACGUACCCAGUCGUGGGGGAUAACGCAGCGAAAGUUGUGCUAAUACCGCAUACGACCUGAGGGUGAAAGCGGGGGACCGUAAGGCCUCGCGCGAUUGGAGCGGCCGAUGUCUGAUUAGCUAGUUGGUGGGGUAAAGGCCUACCAAGGCGACGAUCCGUAGCUGGUCUGAGAGGAUGAUCAGCCACACUGGGACUGAGACACGGCCCAGACUCCUACGGGAGGCAGCAGUGGGGAAUUUUGGACAAUGGGCGCAAGCCUGAUCCAGCCAUGCCGCGUGAGUGAAGAAGGCCUGCGGGUUGUAAAGCUCUUUCAGACGGAAAGAAAUCGGGAGCGUGAAUAGCGUGCCUGGAUGACGGUACUGUCAGAAGAAGCACCGGCUAACUACGU